RNAcentral lists this transfer RNA (77 nucleotides) under Chloroflexota bacterium. Its description in RNAcentral is "Chloroflexi bacterium tRNA-Pro". It matches the Rfam family "tRNA". Rfam says of the family: Transfer RNA (tRNA) molecules are approximately 80 nucleotides in length. Their secondary structure includes four short double-helical elements and three loops (D, anti-codon, and T loops). Further hydrogen bonds mediate the characteristic L-shaped molecular structure. tRNAs have two regions of fundamental functional importance: the anti-codon, which is responsible for specific mRNA codon recognition, and the 3' end, to which the tRNAs corresponding amino acid is attached (by aminoacyl-tRNA synthetases). tRNAs cope with the degeneracy of the genetic code in two manners: having more than one tRNA (with a specific anti-codon) for a particular amino acid; and 'wobble' base-pairing, i.e. permitting non-standard base-pairing at the 3rd anti-codon position. RNAcentral also lists the same sequence under 1 other name. The record is from RNAcentral. Lineage: Bacteria; Bacillati; Chloroflexota.
CGGGGAGUGGCGCAGCCUGGCAGCGCACCUGACUGGGGGUCAGGAGGUCGCAGGUUCAAAUCCUGUCUCCCCGACCA